AUAUCAGUCAUGCAUAGCAUAUCAAUAAGCGGAGGAAAAGAAACUAACAAGGAUUCCCUUAGUAACGGCGAGUGAAGCGGGAAGAGCUCAAAUUUGAAAUCUUCAAGGUUUUACCUUGACGAAUUGUAGUUUAAAGAAGUGUUUUCUGUUGAAGUUUUGGUAAAAGUUCUUUGGAAUAGGACAUCAUAGAGGGUGAGAAUCCCGUAUUUGACCAUUACUUUCAGCUUUGUGAUACACUUUCAAAGAGUCGGAUUGUUUGGGAAUGCAGUCCAAAAUGGGUGGUAAAUUUCAUCUAAAGCUAAAUAUUGGCGAGAGACCGAUAGCGAACAAGUACCGUGAGGGAAAGAUGAAAAGAACUUUGAAAAGAGAGUUAAACAGUACGUGAAAUUGUCAAAAGGGAAGCGUUUGACACCAGUGUUGUUUUCUCGAAAAUCAAUUAAAAAGAGUUGGAUUUUGUGUUGUAUUGACUUUAUCAGCUUUCUUCACUCUUUUCCAGCUUUUUUUAAUGCACUUUUCCGUUUAACAAGUCAACAUCAGUUUCUUUUGUUGUAAAAAGGUCAUUGGAAGGUGGCUUUCUCUUCGGAGAAAGUGUUUAUAGCCUUUGACUCAUGCAAUCGGAGAGACUGAGGUCUGCAGCGUAGAUCCUUCGGGGUUAGAUACAUUUGUGCUAAGUUAUAGCUUUUCAUAGACAACUUGUUGACUAUGUUUAGUCUUGUAGCUUACUCGCUUAUGCUAUUUUACCUACGCUUAGGAUGUUGAACUCUAUCACACACAG
Molecule: ribosomal RNA, 775 nt
Filed under: uncultured Neocallimastigales
Lineage: Eukaryota; Fungi; Neocallimastigomycota; Neocallimastigomycetes; Neocallimastigales
Description: partial large subunit ribosomal RNA
Rfam family: Eukaryotic large subunit ribosomal RNA
Source: RNAcentral